AUUGGAAAACAAAGAUCUUGAACAAGUAAACGAAUUGAAUGGUGUAACAUAACUAAAAGUUUGUAGGUGCAGGAUGUUUAAUGGUCGGCUCUCUUCUAGCAUGGUAGUUUUCUCCAUGAGGAGAAAAAUUAUUCAGCUCAGUGCAAACUAGAUGUGUUGCCUGGAAUUACAGUUUAAUAUUGACUUUUUACUGUACUUUUAUAUUGUUGGUAUAACUUGUUUUUUUUACAUUUAGGACCUAAUAUACUAUCGGCAUGCUGAAUUUUGUGCUAUUCUGAGGCCAAGCAUUACUUUUGUAGGAUGAUUCAGAAAUUGUUGCAAUGAUCAAAGAAUUACUAGAAACACGAAUUCGACCUGCAGUGCAGGACGAUGGUGGGGAUAUCGAGUAUCAUGGAUUUGAUCCGUAUUUCUCUUCUUUGCUCUCAUCAGACCAAAAAAUAAGCUAUACUCCCAUGUCGAUUCAGCGGUAGCUUGAUUUUACUUAAUGUUUGCUCUUCUUCAGGGAUUCUGGGAUAGUCACGCUAAGAAUGCAAGGUGCCUGUAGCGGCUGCCCAAGUUCAUCUGUGACAUUGAAGUCUGGCAUCGAGAAUAUGCUUAUGCAUUAUGUGCCGGAGGUAAUAUCAUGACAUCCAUUUGCUUCGAGUGCCACCGCAUGUCCUUCAGAAUUCAAGUCAAAGGGGUUGACCAGGAGCUAGAUACGGAUGAGGGUGCUUCGUCAAGCGAUCAAACGGAAUAAAAUGUUACUGAAGAAGCCUAAUCAUCGAACCUCCCCCGUAGAGAAUUAGUGCCUGCUGUGAUUUCUCAACUCGCAGCACCAUCAGCGGAGAAAUCUGGAGUUAUAGUCGAAGACCAUUUAACCUCUGUAUAUAUGUUUCAUAACAGGGGAAAAAGAUAACCAACCGUAAUGUUCGAUAGCGAAGCAUGUAACUAUCGAAAUGAGAUUUUUUUUCUUCUUUUUUAUCCAUGGGCACAUUUCCACAUAAAUGUUGUCUUUUUAUUUCAAUACUUGGCUCUUCCAAGAUCAUGGAUAAGAUGCUAUUGGUAAAUGCAUAUUUUUCUGUAGCAGCUCAUUGGAACUCCCAAA
Molecule: long non-coding RNA, 1084 nt
Organism: Musa acuminata AAA Group (dessert banana)
Lineage: Eukaryota; Viridiplantae; Streptophyta; Magnoliopsida; Zingiberales; Musaceae
Exons: 2
Source: RefSeq, a predicted model, not a curated record